Molecule: ribosomal RNA, 608 nt
Filed under: Escherichia coli
Lineage: Bacteria; Pseudomonadati; Pseudomonadota; Gammaproteobacteria; Enterobacterales; Enterobacteriaceae
Description: partial 23S ribosomal RNA
Rfam family: Bacterial large subunit ribosomal RNA
Source: RNAcentral
GAAAUACCACCCUUUAAUGUUUGAUGUUCUAACGUUGGCCCCUGAUCGGGGUUGCGGACAGUGUCUGGUGGGUAGUUUGACUGGGGCGGUCUCCUCCUAAAGAGUAACGGAGGAGCACGAAGGUUGGCUAAUCCUGGUCGGACAUCAGGAGGUUAGUGCAAUGGCAUAAGCCAGCUUGACUGCGAGCGUGACGGCGCGAGCAGGUGCGAAAGCAGGUCAUAGUGAUCCGGUGGUUCUGAAUGGAAGGGCCAUCGCUCAACGGAUAAAAGGUACUCCGGGGAUAACAGGCUGAUACCGCCCAAGAGUUCAUAUCGACGGCGGUGUUUGGCACCUCGAUGUCGGCUCAUCACAUCCUGGGGCUGAAGUAGGUCCCAAGGGUAUGGCUGUUCGCCAUUUAAAGUGGUACGCGAGCUGGGUUUAGAACGUCGUGAGACAGUUCGGUCCCUAUCUGCCGUGGGCGCUGGAGAACUGAGGGGGGCUGCUCCUAGUACGAGAGGACCGGAGUGGACGCAUCACUGGUGUUCGGGUUGUCAUGCCAAUGGCACUGCCCGGUAGCUAAAUGCGGAAGAGAUAAGUGCUGAAAGCAUCUAAGCACGAAACUUGCCCCG